AAUCAACGCUGGCGGCGUGCCUAACACAUGCAAGUCGAACGCGAAAGCCCCGCAAGGGGUAAGUAGAGUGGCAAACGGGUGAGUAACACGUGGGUGACCUGCCUUCGAGUGGGGGAUAACGUCCCGAAAGGGACGCUAAUACCGCAUGACAUCCUGCUUUUGAAAAAGCGGAGAUCAAAGCUGGGGAUCGCAAGACCUAGCGCUUGAAGAGGGGCCCGCGCCUGAUUAGCUAGUUGGUGAGGUAACGGCUCACCAAGGCGACGAUCAGUAUCCGGCCUGAGAGGGCGGACGGACACACUGGGACUGAGACACGGCCCAGACUCCUACGGGAGGCAGCAGUGGGGAAUUGUUCGCAAUGGGCGCAAGCCUGACGACGCAACGCCGCGUGGAGGACGAAGAUCUUCGGGUCGUAAACUCCUGUCGAGCGGGACGAACGCUUCGCGGAUGAAUAAUCCGCGGAAUUGACGGUACCGCUAAAGGAAGCCCCGGCUUACUCCGUG
This 500-nucleotide ribosomal RNA is filed under the name uncultured bacterium. RNAcentral's name for it is "partial 16S ribosomal RNA". It matches the Rfam family "Bacterial small subunit ribosomal RNA", at positions 32 to 507 of the family's 1533-position model. The record is from RNAcentral.